ACGAACGCUGGCGGCGUGCUUCACACAUGCAAGUCGAACGGGUCUGCCCUGUUUUUUGCGGGGUGGGUCAGUGGCGAACGGGUGAGUAACACGUGAGUAACCUGCCCCUCACUUCUGGAUAACCGCUUGAAAGGGUGGCUAAUACGGGGUGUUCUGGCUGUGCCGCAUGGUGUGGCUGGGAAAGAUUCCCUUUUGUGGUGUUUUGGUGGGGGAUGGGCUCGCGGCCUAUCAGCUUGUUGGUGGGGUGAUGGCCUGCCAAGGCUUUGACGGGUAGCCGGCCUGAGAGGGUGGGCGGUCACACUGGGACUGAGAUACGGCCCAGACUCCUGCGGGAGGCAGCAGUGGGGGGUAUUGCACAAUGGGCGGAAGCCUGAUGCAGCGACGUCGCGUGAGGGAUGGAGGCCUUCGGGUUGUGAACCUCUUUCGCCGGUGAAGAAGGUCCUGCUCUUUGUGGUGGGGUUGACGGUAGCCGGGUUAUGAAGCGCCGGCUAACUACGUG
Molecule: ribosomal RNA, 499 nt
Filed under: uncultured bacterium
Lineage: Bacteria
Description: partial 16S ribosomal RNA
Rfam family: Bacterial small subunit ribosomal RNA
Source: RNAcentral